UAAAUUUAGUAAAACUUUACCUUCUUAUAUGAUACUUCUUUUUCUUAUGCUUGCAUUGUUUGGCACUUCAACUGGCAUUUAACUCCCAAAUUCUAUUCCCUGUUGAAAGAGAGAUUGUCUUGUUCUUUCUAUUUCUAUCUUUUCCUGUUGAUUUAUAUUGCUGGGAACUGAGUUAUUCCUGUAUAUCUUCUCUAGAUCGUGUCAAAGAAUCUCUCUGAA
RNAcentral lists this unclassified non-coding RNA (219 nucleotides) under Hevea brasiliensis (rubber tree). Lineage: Eukaryota; Viridiplantae; Streptophyta; Magnoliopsida; Malpighiales; Euphorbiaceae. The record is from RNAcentral.